GGGUGCGAUCAUACCAGCACUAAUGCAACGGAUCCCAUCAGAACUCCGCAGCUAAGCGUGCUUGGGCGAGAGUAGUACUAGGAUGGGUGACCUCCUGGGAAGUCCUCGUGUUGCACCCC
RNAcentral lists this ribosomal RNA (119 nucleotides) under Vitis vinifera (wine grape). RNAcentral also lists the same sequence under 1 other name. Lineage: Eukaryota; Viridiplantae; Streptophyta; Magnoliopsida; Vitales; Vitaceae. The record is from RNAcentral.